This 73-nucleotide transfer RNA is filed under the name Elusimicrobiaceae bacterium. RNAcentral describes it as "tRNA-Thr". It matches the Rfam family "tRNA". From Rfam's summary of the family: Transfer RNA (tRNA) molecules are approximately 80 nucleotides in length. Their secondary structure includes four short double-helical elements and three loops (D, anti-codon, and T loops). The record is from RNAcentral. Lineage: Bacteria; Pseudomonadati; Elusimicrobiota; Elusimicrobia; Elusimicrobiales; Elusimicrobiaceae.
GCCGAGGUAGCUCAACUGGCAGAGCAACGGUUUUGUAAACCGUAGGUUGUGGGUUCAAUUCCCAUCCUCGGCU